GACAGCUAGGGGUGUGAAUGGGAUCAGAUACUCCAGUAGUCCUGGUCAUAAAUGAUAGAUACUAGGCGCCAUGCGUAUCGACCCGUGCAGUGCUAUAGCUAAUGCAUAGUAUGU
RNAcentral lists this non-coding RNA (114 nucleotides) under Daucus carota subsp. sativus. The record is from Rfam by way of RNAcentral. Lineage: Eukaryota; Viridiplantae; Streptophyta; Magnoliopsida; Apiales; Apiaceae.